UACGAGAUCCGAGCGUUAUCCGGAAUUAUUGGGUUUAAAGGGUGCGUAGGCGGCCAUUUAAGUCAGCGGUGAAAUUUUGCAGCUUAACUGUAACAGUGCCGUUGAUACUGUUUGGCUAGGAUUUGGUUGUAGUGUGCGGAAUGUGUGGUGUAGCGGUGAAAUGCUUAGAUAUCAGGAGGAACACCGAUGGCGAAGGCAGGUCACUGGGCCACUACUGACGCUGAGAAGCGAAAGCAUGGGGAGCGAACAGGAUUAGAUA
This 259-nucleotide ribosomal RNA is filed under the name uncultured prokaryote. Its description in RNAcentral is "partial 16S ribosomal RNA". It matches the Rfam family "Bacterial small subunit ribosomal RNA", at positions 526 to 784 of the family's 1533-position model. The record is from RNAcentral.